AGAGGGUGCGAGCGUUAAUCGGAAUUACUGGGCGUAAAGCGCACGUAGUCGGCUUGCCAAGUCGGGUGUGAAAUCCCCGGGCUCAACCUGGGAACUGCAUCCGAAACUGGCUUGCUAGAGUAUGGGAGAGGGAGGCGGAAUUUCUGGUGUAGCAGUGAAAUGCGUAGAUAUCAGAAGGAACAUCAGUGGCGAAGGCGGCCUCCUGGACCAAUACUGACGAUCAGGUGCGAAAGCGUGGGGAGCAAACAGGAUUAGAUACCCUGGUAGUCCACGCCCUAAACGAUGUCAACUGGAUGUCGGGAGGGUUUGCCUUCCGGUGUCGUAGCUAACGCGUUAAGUUGUCCGCCUGGGAAGUACGGCCGCAAGGUUG
This 370-nucleotide ribosomal RNA is filed under the name uncultured bacterium. RNAcentral's name for it is "bacterial SSU rRNA". It matches the Rfam family "Bacterial small subunit ribosomal RNA", at positions 527 to 896 of the family's 1533-position model. The record is from RNAcentral.